GAUGAAGAACGUAGCGAAAUGCGAUAAGUAAUGUGAAUUGCAGAAUUCAGUGAAUCAUCGAAUCUUUGAACGCACAUUGCGCCCGUCAGUAUUCUGGCGGGCAUGCCUGUUCGAGCGUCAUUACGCCCCUCAAGUCCCAUGUGGACUUGGUGUUGGGGAUCGGCGAGGCUGGUUUUCCAGCACAGCCGUCCCUUAAAUUAAUUGGCGGUCUCGCCGUGGCCCUCCUCUGCGCAGUAGUAAAACACUCGCAACAGGAGCCCGGCGCGGUCCACUGCCGUAAAACCCCCCAACUUUUUAUAGUUGACCUCGAAUCAGGUAGGACUACCCGCUGAACUUAAGCAUAUCAAUAAGCGGAGGA
RNAcentral lists this unclassified non-coding RNA (358 nucleotides) under soil metagenome. RNAcentral describes it as "partial contains 5.8S ribosomal RNA, internal transcribed spacer 2, and large subunit ribosomal RNA". The stretch from base 1 to 120 matches the Rfam family "5.8S ribosomal RNA", at positions 35 to 154 of the family's 154-position model. The record is from RNAcentral.